RNAcentral lists this ribosomal RNA (2802 nucleotides) under Triticum aestivum (bread wheat). Its description in RNAcentral is "partial small subunit ribosomal RNA". Lineage: Eukaryota; Viridiplantae; Streptophyta; Magnoliopsida; Poales; Poaceae. The record is from RNAcentral.
AUCGAACCCUCCUCCCCAUCUCAGCCCUCCCGUCGGACCGACGCCGCCGCCGAGCCCUUCCGCCCUCUACAGCCCCCUCCACCGCUAACCUGUUCAACCUCCACCAAUAUUAAUGGUGCGGGUGCAUCGAGGUCGACGUCGCCUCCCUCCACACCCAUCUGGUGUGCGAGGUGGACAUCGCCGUCCUCCCUUGGGCUCCGCCAUCGAGAUUGGUCAACACCGUCGGUGCUCGAAGCUUGCCUCCCUCCCCAACACCAGAUCCGACGGCAGCACCGAGCCCCUCCAUCGUGCCGCAAGCCCGCCGACGGCAAGCACCAGAGGAAGCGGUGCUUCUUGGCUCCUCUACCAUCUCUGGGUCGUCGCGCCACCACCAUGCCGCCACGCUCUACAUCCCCGCGGACCUCCAUCUGAUGACCAUGGGCGGGCUUCCUCCACCCCGAUGGCGAGCGCAGUGCAUGCUCGUCACUACGCAGGUACAAAAGGCUGCUCAGAUCUGUCAAGGUGGAAACCAGAUGCAGGUGAGUUUUCCUUCCUAAGGCUGUGAACCUCUCCUCUCCUUAUGAGGAAUCUUAUACCGAGCACGCCCUGUAUCAGUUCUCUCCUUUUUCCCGUGGCCCUCCUCAUGGAGGUAUGCCUUUUUGGGUUGCUAUUGAUUGUUGUGGUUGAUUGGAGGAGCGAUCUAAUUAUCACGAAUUCACGAAAGGAAUUGUACUCAUAGAUUUUCUGUUUACAGGUACUGAAGACAUAUAAUGAAUGUUGGGAUCCUUUCCCCCCUUGUCUUUGAAGGAUUUGUGUGUAGAAUAAUGAGAUGUAUAGGGGGGUUGAGUUACAGAGGGAGUUGCUAUCAUCAAUUCAUCAUGCACAUACAUGCUAGUUCCUUAACUCUCCUCAUACUCACGUGAUUAAUUCAGUGCAUGUUAAACAUUUUUUACGUCUGUUUCAGUUAUAGAUGCUGCUCCUCUCUAAAUAGGUGGCUGGAAGAACCCCUAUCUUUAAUUUUGCCUAAACUUGUAACAGGUCGUGGAUUAAUAAAGGUUACUUUUUCUGUAAAAAAAUGUACGCUCAGUUGUGGACUGGACUGCAGUGCUUUCUGUAAAAACAAACUUCAUACCUUGUUUUCAUAAUGUCAGAAAACUAUUCUUGAUGGUUUUGUAGGUUGACGGCGGAUACUUGAGAGUAUUUGGUUUAUGUAACUUCUAAGCAGGUUCAUUGAUUCUAGAGUUGCCGCCUUCUGUUAUGUGUAGAUGUAAAUGUAAAAGAAACAGUAAGUAAUCUCCCUUUCUUUUCUUUUGUAUUUGUCAUGAUUUUAUAUAACAUGUCUUAUUGCAGCUAUGCAUUGCUUCAAUUGUACUGAUCGCCUAUGAUAAAAAGGGAAUAAUAUUUUGUCCAAAGUGAGCAGAUGAGAGAAUAAUAAUGCUUAUUUUCUGACAAACAAUGUGGCUUCCGUAAUAGCCUACAGUAGCUCUGGACUGAACUAGACGGGCGCUCUCUGCUACCUUGCAAGUCUGUGUGUUACCUCACAUGAAAGUAUACUCAUUCACACGCUGCUAUAUUAUCUCCUAAUGCCUUCCCCUAAUAACAGAGCCCGUAAUCAGUACAUGUCAGGAAUAUGUCCUCAUCUGUACACAUAAAUUUCUACUACUGUACAUUGCAUCUUAUUUAUUGUAUGCUUUUCUGGUCUAAUGAACUGGAAUUGAAGUCCUGUUUUGGUUUGUUCUUAAAUCUGACGUAUGUACCUGAAUACCAUCUAUGGUUUACUUUCUUAGAUACAUUAAAUUUUAGUAAGUUUCAUGGAAACAAUUUUGCACAUCUAAAGUAUGGUGCGACCCCUUCUGAUUGCUUUCCGCACUAUUGUAUAUUUAAAACAUGAUUCAUAUAUGAUAUUUUUCAAUUUGUUAUCCUCCCAUAAUCACCCAGUUAAUGUAUUCCGCCAUUAAAAGUAUACCAGAUGCUCUUUUAUUACUGUAUUUUACACUCUUGGGUACAACUUAUUUGUUUUGUUGUCUUUACUAGGGAGACACUUCAUUGUUCUUUUAAGUGAUCAAAGUCAGCAGAAUUCUUUUUUGUAACAUUGUUCUCAUCUCUGAACACUUACAAUGAAACACAUUAAUUGACAUAUGAUUUGUUAGCUUUCUAUAACGUUUUAUUUCUCUGAAAUCAAUUAUUGCAAAGAUUCAUUGCCAGUGCUCCAUGUUGUAAAGAUUCAAUGUUUUAGUGGUUAUAUUAACCCAAAGUUUUCUUUAAAUGGUUAUCUCAUUACAUCCAGCAUCUGCUGUUAGUUGUUUUUCAUCUGUACCAUCUUAUCUGUUCAGGUUGGCAUCACACUUGAAGAUCUUUUGGUUAACAUGUAGUUAUACUAGUGAACUAGGAUGUCUACAUGGUGAUUCAUUUGUUCAUAGUGACAACACAAUCAGGUGGGGUGAGGCUAUCAAUCUGUGAUCUUUCAAGCAUUGCAAGUUUGGUGCUCUUCUGCUGGCGACAUGGGGCCAUCUUUGAAUAAUGCAGUUUCACAUGAUGAUGGCGAGUCUGGUUUUCAGAACAUCUCAUGAAAAUGGCAAUGUCAUUUGACAAACGGCUGUGCUGAAAUAUACAGAAGUGUGAACAUGCCAUUGUUUCCUAGACAUAGUUGUAGCCUUAUGUCAAGCUCAAACCGUUAGUGUAGCUUAGUUUGAAGACAUGACAUCUUAUUGUCGCAUGUAAAUUAUGUUUACCGAUGUGGUUGGUUGCUACUGAACACAUCUAUGGAUGUUGAAAUCUUGAAUUUUUAGUUUGAAUGUGUUUCAGGUCUGCUAUUGAAUCUUG